GACGAACGCUGGCGGCGUGCUUAACACAUGCAAGUCGUACGGUAAGGCCCUUUCGGGGGUCCACGAGUGGCGAACGGGUGAGUAACACGUGAGUAACCUGCCCACAACUUUGGGAUAACGCUAGGAAACUGGUGCUAAUACUGGAUAUGUGCUCCUGCUGCAUGGUGGGGGUUGGAAAGCUCCGGCGGUUGUGGAUGGACUCGCGGCCUAUCAGCUUGUUGGUGGGGUAGUGGCCUACCAAGGCGGCGACGGGUAGCCGGCCUGAGAGGGUGACCGGCCACAUUGGGACUGAGAUACGGCCCAGACUCCUACGGGAGGCAGCAGUGGGGAAUAUUGCACAAUGGGCGCAAGCCUGAUGCAGCAACGCCGCGUGCGGGAGAACGGCCUUCGGGUUGUAAACCGCUUUCAGCAGGGACGAAGCUUUUUGUGACGGUACCUGCAGAAGAAGCACCGGCUAACUACGUG
Molecule: ribosomal RNA, 465 nt
Filed under: uncultured bacterium
Lineage: Bacteria
Description: partial 16S ribosomal RNA
Rfam family: Bacterial small subunit ribosomal RNA
Source: RNAcentral